This is a long non-coding RNA of Callorhinus ursinus (northern fur seal), 1461 nucleotides long. RefSeq lists it as uncharacterized. The record is from RefSeq and is a predicted model, not a curated record. NCBI's taxonomy places the organism in Eukaryota, Metazoa, Chordata, Mammalia, Carnivora, Otariidae.
CUAGUGGCGGGCGUGCUUGCGCCUCAGCUCUGUAGCUUCUGGGUUCCGUUUCCACGGUUACGGCGGCGUGAGGCUGUGUGUCCCAGUCACUGACGUGAAGCUGUUUGUGCGUGCCUGGGAGCUGCACACUCUUUAAGUGACCGGCCUGGAGACAGUUGCUCAGAUCAAGGCCCAUGUCGCCUCCUUGGAGGGCCACACCACCGAAGAUAAAGUAGUGCUUCUGGCAGGUUCUCCCCUGCAGGAUGAAGCCACCCUGGGUCAGUGUGGGGUAGACGCCCUGGCGACCCUGGAAGUGGUUGGCCGUAUGCUAGGAGGUGAGUGGGGCUACAGAGGCCAAACUGGUGCCAGGGGCUAUUUAUGAUCCUUAGACUUACUUUGCCUUUCACAGUGUCUAACGUUUUUUGCUUUAAUUUACAAUAUCUAAAAGUCAGUUGAUUUUGUGUGAAAAUACAAUAUCUGGCCUUGCUUCAAAACUUGGGAAGAUCUGGUGACAGGGGGCCUGUGUUCCCACAUACCAACAGUCGGCCCCAGCUGAGUAGUGGCUGCUCCCUUUAGAAGGCUUUAUAGUUUGCUACAGUUUCCACUCCUCCCUCCUCAAAAGCAGUGUCAGUUACCAUUUAUCAUCAGGCUUGUGCUGUUGUUUCUCUUGUAAAGAAAAGUGAACUCUCUUUUUGUACCUAUGUCUCUAUCAAAAAUGGGAAAACGAAAGAUGGAUUCAGAGCGUUGCAUGUUUCAAGAUUAGUGGGAAUGAGCAUAUUUCUUUGUGAAAGUUAAGAAUAGCCCUAAGUGUUUUGUAUGUAACCACACUUUGUCUGUAUCAAAAGAAUACAGCUUAAGACGCCAUUAUGAAACAAACCAGAGUGAGAAUUUUGACUGGUGUACAGAAAAUAUGCGUAAUGAAAAACUUAAUGAACUAAAAAAAGGACUAAACUUUCUUCCGCAUUUAUCAUCAAAUGCAAAUAAAAUAACCGAUGCUGCUGUGAAAUGCAGUUAUGUCAUAAGUGGAAAAAUUGCCCAGGCAUCAAAACCUUUCACAGAUGGCGAGUUUAUAAAAGACUCUCUAUUGAGUGUGCAGAAAUCAUGUGUCCAGAGCAGAAACAAGCAUUUGCAAACAUAAGUCUAACUGGAAACACUGUUGCUCAGCAAGUAAAAGAUAUGGCUGAGAAUCUAAAGUACAAGUUGGGAGAAAAAGUGAAUUCAUCUGUGACAUUUUCUAUUGCAGUGGAUGAGAGCACAUAUAUAAAUAAUUCAAGCCAGUUAAUUAUAUUUAUCUGGGGUGUUGAUGAGAAUUUUGACAUCACUGGAGAACUUUUGGACAUGGUUCCCAUGAUAGACCAGCAUCUGAAAAUGACUUAUUUGGGUAUGUUGAGAAAAGUCUUGAAAAGUUUAAUGUUGGGGCACCUGGGUGGCUCAGUCGUUAGGCAUCUGCCUUCGGCUCAGGUCAUGAUCCCAGGGUCCUUG